UUAAGAAGCCCUUUUAAUGAAAAAAUUUUUUUCUUUUAUGGUUUUUGCUUUUGUUUCUUAAGAUAACAUUGACUGCCAAGGCCAUGACAGUUUUCUUCUAGAUGUUUCCAGUUACAGUUUUACAUGUAAGUCUGUACUGCAAUUCAAUUUAAUUUUUCUUUAUGAUAGAGGUAAGGGUCAAGGGUAAUAUUUUUCACAUGGAUAUCAAUUUUUUAGCAUCACUUUUUGAAAAAACUAUCAAUUCUUUGAAUUGCCGUGAUCUAUAUAUGUUGAGACAGACCUAUUUAUAUAUUCUUAGGUCUUUCAUUUCAUUGAUUUUUAUGCCUAUAUUUUUAUGCCACUGUUUGAUUACUGUAGCUUUAUGGUACAUGUGCUAAGCAAGGUCCAUUUACGAGGCAGAAUCCAUACAGUAAUUUGAAGAAUGAAAUUUUAGUAUAAAGAAUUAGCUCUUGAGUCACCCCUGUGCAGCCUUGGUGCCUUGUGCAUUUUGGACACCCAGCCCAUCUUGCUCGUAGCCUUUUCCUUUCAAGAUUUAGCUUGUAAGCCUUUUCCUUUCAAGAUGUCUGAGGAGGUGUACCAUCGAGAAGGGGAGGUGGCGACUUUUGCCUUUUAGGCAGAAAUUGCCCAACUCAUGUCUCUCAUAAUCAAUACCUUCUAUUCCAACAAGGAGAUUUUCCUUCAGGAGUUGAUGUCUAAUGCUUCUGAUGGCUUAGACAAGAUUUGCUAUGAGAGCCUGACAGACCCUUCCAAGUUGGACGGUGGUAAAGAACUGAAAAUUGACAUCAUCCCCAACCCUCAGGAAUGCAUCCUGACUUUGGUCGACACAGGCAUUGGCAUGACCAAGGCUGAUCUCAUAAAUAAUUUGGGAGCCAUUGCCAAGUCUGGUACUAAAGCAUUUAUCGAGGCUUUUCAGUCUGAUGCAGAAAUCUCCAUGAUUGGGCAAUUUGGUGUUGGCUUUUAUUCUGCCUACUUGGUGGCAGAGAAAGUAGCCAUCACAAAGCACAAUGACGAAGAACAGUAUUCCUGGGCAUCUUCUGCUGGGAGUUCCUUCACUUUACGUGUUGACCAUGGUGAGCCCAUUGACAGGGAUACCAAAGUGAUCCUUCACCUUAAAGAAGAUCAGACAGAGUACUUAGAAGAGAGGUGGGCCAAAGAAGUAGUGAAGAAGCACUCUCAGUUCAUAGGCUGUCUUAUCGCCGUUUAUUUGGAGAAGGAACCAGAGAAGGAAAUCAGUGAUGAUGAGGAAGAGAAAGGUGAGAAAGAAGAGGAAGAUAAAGAUGACGAAGAAAAGCCCAAGAUUGAAGAUGUGGGUUCCGAUGCGGAGGAUGACACUGAUAAGAAUAAGAAGAAGAAAACAAAGAAGAUCAAGGAGAAAUACACUGAUCAGGAAGAACUAAACCAGACCAAGCCUAUUUGGACCAGAAACCCUGAUGACAUCACCCAGGAAGAGUAUGGAGAAUUCUACAAGAACCUCACCAGUGCCUGGGAAGACCACUUGGCAGUCAGGCAAUUCCCUGUAGAAGGUCAGUUGGAAUUCAGGGCAUUGCUAUUCAUCCCUCAUCAGGCUCCCUUUGAGAACAAGAGGAAAAUGAACAACUCUGUGUCCAUCAUGUGUUGAUCAUGGACAGCUUUGAUGAUUUGAUGCCAGAGUAUCUCGGCUUUAUCUGUGGUAUGGUUGACUCUAAGGAUCUUUCCCCAAACAUCUCCUGGGAAAUGCUCCAGCAGAGCAAAAUCUUGGAAGUCAUUUGCAAAAACAUUGUUAAGAAAUGCCGUGGCUUGAGCUUCUCUGGGCUGGCAGAAGACAAGGAGAAUAACAAGAAAUUAGAUGAGGCAUUCUCUAAAAUCUCAUGGCUUGGAAUCCAUGAGGACUCUAUUAACUAGCGACACCUGUCUGAACUGCUGUGGUCUCACACUUUCCAGUCUGGAGAUGAGAUGACAUCUCUGUCAGAGUAUGUGUCUUGCAUGAAGGAGGCACAGAAGUCCAUCUGUGACAUCAUCGGUGAGUGCAAAGAGUAGGUAGCCAACUCUGCUUUUAUGGAGCAAGUCUGGAAGAAGGGCUUCGAGGCAGUAUAUAUGAGUGAGCCCAUUGAUGAGUACUGUGUGCAGCAGCUCAAGGAAUUUGAUGGGAAGGGCCUGGUCUCAGUUACCAAGGAGGGUCUGGAGCUACCUGACGAUGAGGAGGAGAAGAAGAUAAUAGAGGAGAGCAAGGUAAAGUUUGAGAACCUCUGCAGGCUCAUGAAAGAAAUCUUAGAUAAGAAGGUUGAGAAGGUGACAAUCUUGUGUCUUCACCCAGCUGCAUUGUGACCAGCACCUACAGCUAGAUAGCCAAUAUGAAGUGGAUCAUGAAAGCGCAGGCAUUUUGGGACAACUCUAUGAUGGGUUAUAUGAUGGCUAAAAAGCACCUGGAGAUCAACCCCAACCACGCCAUUAUGGAGACACUACAGCAGAAGGCUGAGGCAGACAAGAACAACAAGGCUGUCAGUGACCUAGUGGUGCUGCUGUUUGAAACCACACUGCUCUCUUCUGGCUUCUCCCUUUGAGGAUCCUCAGACCUAUCCAGCUGCAUCUACCACAUGAUCAAGCUAGGUUAGCUAUUGAUGAAGAUGAAGUGGCAACAGAGGAACUCAGUGCUGCUGUUCCUGAUGAGAUCCAGCUCUGCUGGGGGCGAUGAGGAUGUGUCUCACAUGGAACAAGUAAAUUAA
This is an RNA transcript of Nomascus leucogenys (northern white-cheeked gibbon), 2702 nucleotides long. It is a transcript of the gene named putative heat shock protein HSP 90-beta 4, with no coding region annotated. The transcript has 2 exons. NCBI's taxonomy places the organism in Eukaryota, Metazoa, Chordata, Mammalia, Primates, Hylobatidae. The record is from RefSeq and is a predicted model, not a curated record.